GAUGAACGCUGGCGGCGUGCUUAACACAUGCAAGUCGAACGGAAAGGCUCCUGCUUGCAGGGGUACUCGAGUGGCGAACGGGUGAGUAACACGUGGGUGAUCUGCCCUGCACUUCGGGAUAAGCCUUGGAAACUGGGUCUAAUACCGGAUAGGACGAUGGUUUGGAUGCCAUUGUGGAAAGUUUUUCGGUGUGGGAUGAGCUCGCGGCCUAUCAGCUUGUUGGUGGGGUAAUGGCCUACCAAGGCGUCGACGGGUAGCCGGCCUGAGAGGGUGUACGGCCACAUUGGGACUGAGAUACGGCCCAGACUCCUACGGGAGGCAGCAGUGGGGAAUAUUGCACAAUGGGCGCAAGCCUGAUGCAGCGACGCCGCGUGGGGGAUGACGGCCUUCGGGUUGUAAACUCCUUUCGCUAGGGACGAAGCGCAAGUGACGGUACCUGGAGAAGAAGCAACGGCUAACUACGUG
RNAcentral lists this ribosomal RNA (465 nucleotides) under uncultured bacterium. RNAcentral describes it as "partial 16S ribosomal RNA". It matches the Rfam family "Bacterial small subunit ribosomal RNA", at positions 28 to 507 of the family's 1533-position model. The record is from RNAcentral.